This 290-nucleotide unclassified non-coding RNA is filed under the name Hevea brasiliensis (rubber tree). The record is from RNAcentral. Lineage: Eukaryota; Viridiplantae; Streptophyta; Magnoliopsida; Malpighiales; Euphorbiaceae.
GAGGAACUCCUGACAUGGGCUCUGGAUCCGAGAUCUGGAGCCAAUCUCCCAUUGUCGACCAGGACGGUGAGAGCGUUGAAGGAGGUGGAAGCUUUCGCAUUGACGGCUGACGAGCUGAAAUUUGUGGCUGGCCAGUUCAGACGGCUUCACAGCAGGCAGGUGCAACACACGUUUCGCUUCUAUUCUCAGCAGUGGAGGACGUGGGCGGCGUCGUUCAUCCAAGCAGCGUGGCGGCGUCACUGCAAGAGGAAGGCUGCGGAAGUCCGGCGCAGGGAGGAGGCACCUGAAUU